CCUGUUGGUCGAGGCUGUGGUGUGAUAUUGAAAGGACCCAGAGGCAUCCAUCUGCCUGUCUCUCAAGCUUUUCGUCAUCUUCCUACUGAGAGUCCUGGGAGCACCUUGCCACCAUGACCUCACAUCGCCAUUUGUCCUUGGAACACUGGGACUCCCUCCUCUAAAACUGCUCCUAUCCUGACAUUCUGAACUUGGACGUGAGUUUUUGCCUUCCCUCUGCCACUGUCCUCCCAGAGACCUUGGGCUCCCAGUCCUUCUCCUAGGCCCCAGGUUCUCCCCCAACUCCCCUUUUCAACUAGAACCUUCUGGCCCCCAAGGCUCCUGGACCCUCAAGGUUCUCAUACACCAACUAAAACAUCCCACAGUUGUGAAAACAAAGCCUCCAAAUCAUGAGGAAAAGACAAUUGCUAUGAAUAUAGAUUUUGAUGCUUAACAUUUGUAUCUGCUCACUGACCAGUCACACCCAAAAUAUUUCAGCACAUCAACCCCAGUCUGUCAGGGUGGAGUGGAGGGAAGGUGGGAGGGGAGGCUGGAGAAGGAGGGGAUAUAUGUAUACUUACAGCUGAUUCACGUCACUGUACAGCAGAAACCAACAGAAGACUGUAAAGCAAUUAUCCAUUUUUUAAAAAAAUGAAUAAAGUAAAAAGCCAAAACAAACAAACCAACCUGAGUCUUUCUUGUCCAUUUUGAAGACGCCUAUCUGAAUCAUGUACAGAGCACACCAAGGAGUCAGACCCAUCCUAAAAUCAACAAGCUCCUUCCUGUCAAAAUAUUGCCAAACCACAAUAAUGGUUUUGCACAAAGCAAAGAAUAUCUUUGAUAUAGGGCGGGGUUGGGCACACUUCAGAAGCUGGAGUUUCCAGGAGAGGAGGCCUCCUAAGGUCAGACCACCAGACCGUGGGCCUGCUUCUCUCCCUCCCUGUGCCCACCCUGGAGGCUCCCAACUGCCAACAGGGGCCUCCUGGGCUCCCAGUUCUCAGCUCCUGCCAUUGGCAUUUUCACCCCUGCAGCAUGACGCUGGGGAGAACGCACCACGCGCUGUGGACCCGACCAAAACUCCAGCCCAUUCCCCUCUGCAUAGCUACCUGGCUAUCCUGCCAGGUACCCAAGAGCCCAGUGGGUACCAGGCAGAGCUCCCCAACCACAGAGGGUGGAGAGCUGGCCUGUCAAAUAAAGGGUGCAACGGGGAGCAAGAAGUUGGGGGGCCUCACAGGCAACUCCCGACCCCGUCUAGCAGAGACCCUUCUCACUUCAGAGUGGGAGAGAGAGCCCGCUUGGCCUGUGACCCCCGAACAAACCUGGAACAGCAUCUUUCUCUGUGGAGGCUUUGGAGCACGCGUCUUAGGGGCAGCUAUGCAAGUUCCAAUGUUCCCGGGGGGUUGGGGGUGCAGGAGAGGCCCUCUAAGACUCCCCUUCACCCCUUUACAGGACGUAACCUGCGGCCUGACGAUGGGCGGCGACCCCCGAGGUCCUUUUGUUGGCCAAGCCACAGACUCAGCCAGGCUGCUUGUUGUUCAGAGUCCCCGGGGAACUCCGUAAGGGCCUCUGUCCCCAUACAAUGCCCUCGGGGGCCGGGGGGUGGUCCUCAGGCUCUCCCGGGGGUUCUCUUGGCAGGAGGAAAAUCUGGCCAUGACCCCGUGACCAGGCAGGGAGUUCACAGUUCCAGCCCGCCCGCCUCCCUUCAAGGCCAAUCCCUACUCACUUCCGGCUUCUUAUCCGGGAACUUUCCCUCCAAGGCCCAGGCCUCCCAGGCUCCCUAGCUGCUCUGCGUCCUCCCUCCCAUCUCCUGGAACCCAGAGGAAAUUCAAGCCAGCCUGGCCUGCUGGAUCACCCCUCACCUGCCUCCCGUCCUCCAUUCCAGGGGCCACUUCCGCUUCCUGGGAGGUGGGGGGGCAUCUGACGAGACUCAGCUUCCUGGGAGGUGGGGGGCGUCUGACGAGACUCACGGGGCUCUGGACCCAAAUUCCCAAACACCUGCACCUGGGCGCCCUUAACUAGCAAGCUCCAGCUGACAUCCUCUCUCCCCUAAACUUCUCCAUCGCUUUCUAGCUGGGCUACAGCCCCCUCCCCCACCAUCUGCUCGUCACCCAACGGGAAAUUUCGGGGUCACUGUAGCCUCCUCCCACUCCUCCACUCCCCAAGCACCUCCUGCCAACCUCCUCCUGAAUCUCGUCUAGAUCUGCCCGCUUACUCUGUUCGGGUCCUUGCCCUCUGCCUCCUGCCCUCUUUCCGUGGUGUCCUAACUGGGGUCCCUGCCUCAUCUUUUUCUUCAUCUGGUCUUUGCAUCCUACCACAGGUCAGAUCUGGUCAUAUUCUUCCUGAUUUUUUUUUUUUUUUUUUAAUAACUGGAAGGCCUUUUGAUUAAGAUCCAAGUGCCAACCCAGCAUUCAAAGCCGUGUUCUCUCUGACUCCUGUUUGCCUUUCUAGCCUCGUCUGACUGGCUGUGCCGACCACUCACCCCACGUCUUGGCAUCGUCCCUGGUGGUGCACCAAGCAUCUGGAACUAACCUAUAAAGCAUUUUUGCCCAAACUGUUUAACCCAAAUGUUAUCAAUCCUUUAGACCUAAUUUCCAGAAAGAGUAGGGGGAGAAGGUCACCUGGCAACCAUGCGGUAAAUCUAGAAAGAGAAGCAAACAGUUUACACCAACAACUGGCCUGAUCACUUUAAAAAACCAGUGUCAUGGGGGGUUGGGACAAGGAGCAGGGAGAACAGAACACUGUUGGAAAUUGAAACAGUAAAGAAACAUAAUCCACCAAUGCCAUGUGAUCUUUCAUUGGAUGUUGGUCUGAAAAAACACUAUAAAAGACAUUUUGGAGAUGGACAUUUGAUUACAGACUAUCAGCUGAUGUUAGGGAAUUUUUGUUAAUUCUUACUAAUUGUGUUUGGUGUGAUGAUGAGUUUUUUGAUUAUGUAUAAAAUUAUUUUUCUGACUGUCUAUGUUGAAGAAUUCAACGUGAAUUGCCACAGUCUCUGUAGUUCAUUUUGCAGUGUUUCAGAAAAAAUAUAUAUAUAUUCAUAUAUAAAGUCAAUAUGACCAAAUACUAGCAGUUAUGAGCCUAGGCAGGGAAUAGAGAUGUUCAUUGUACCGGUCUAGCAAUUUUUCUGCUUGUUUUUAAAAUGUCAUAAUAAAAAGUUACAAGCACCUGGAGGGUGGGGGGAGCUGAGACCCUAGCAUGUGUUCUGUUCUGUAAUCUCCCAAUCAAAAUAUAUAAAACAUCUUGUCUCCUUGAGGGGAGGGGGAGCGAUUCCUCCUCCAAGUGAAAGGACUCAGCUGCCUGGCAUUCAGAAGCAAUGGCACGUGCUUGCUUUGUAGCAGAAACUGUCCCCACAACUUCAGCAAACUGCCUGAGGGCAGACUCGCUUUCCAGAAGAGCUUGCAUCUUUCUCUGGGGAUAA
Long non-coding RNA from Bos grunniens (domestic yak), 3397 nucleotides. Lineage: Eukaryota; Metazoa; Chordata; Mammalia; Artiodactyla; Bovidae. The record is from Ensembl.